CGAAAUUGGUAGACGCUACGGACUUAAAAAAUCCGUCGUCUUUAAAAAUCGUGAGGGUUCAAGUCCCUCUAUCCCCAA
Molecule: transfer RNA, 78 nt
Filed under: Vitis mustangensis x Vitis riparia
Lineage: Eukaryota; Viridiplantae; Streptophyta; Magnoliopsida; Vitales; Vitaceae
Description: partial tRNA-Leu
Rfam family: tRNA
About the family: Transfer RNA (tRNA) molecules are approximately 80 nucleotides in length. Their secondary structure includes four short double-helical elements and three loops (D, anti-codon, and T loops). Further hydrogen bonds mediate the characteristic L-shaped molecular structure. tRNAs have two regions of fundamental functional importance: the anti-codon, which is responsible for specific mRNA codon recognition, and the 3' end, to which the tRNAs corresponding amino acid is attached (by aminoacyl-tRNA synthetases). tRNAs cope with the degeneracy of the genetic code in two manners: having more than one tRNA (with a specific anti-codon) for a particular amino acid; and 'wobble' base-pairing, i.e. permitting non-standard base-pairing at the 3rd anti-codon position.
Source: RNAcentral